GAGUUUGAUUCUGGCUCACAACGAACGCUGGCGGCGUGGAUAAGACAUGCAAGUCGAACGAGGAAUACGAAUAGCUUGCUAAUUGUAUUCUUAGUGGCGAACGGGUGCGUAACACGUGAGAAACCUGCCUGGAAGAGGGGCAUAGCCUGGGGAAACUCGGAUUAAUACCGCAUGUGAUCGUUGAAGACAUCUUCGAACGAUUAAAGGUGCCGCAAGGUGCCACUUCCAGAUGGUCUCGCGGCCUAUCAGUUUGAUGGUGAGGUAACGGCUCACCAUGGCGACGACGGGUAGCUGGUCUGAGAGGAUGGUCAGCCACACUGGAACUGAGACACGGUCCAGACACCUACGGGUGGCAGCAGUCGAGAAUCAUUCGCAAUGGGCGAAAGCCUGACGGUGCGACGCCGCGUGGAGGAUGAAGGCCCUCGGGUUGUAAACUCCCUGUCAUCAGGGAGUAAGGCUACGGUAGUAACUGACCUGUAGAUUGAUAGUACCUGAAGAGGAAGAGACGGCUAACUCUGUGCCAGCAGCCGCGGUAAUACAGAGGUCUCAAGCGUUGUUCGGAUUUACUGGGCGUAAAGCGUGCGUAGGCGGCGAGGUAAGUCAGAUGUGAAAGCUCGGGGCUCAACCCCG
This 630-nucleotide ribosomal RNA is filed under the name uncultured Verrucomicrobium sp. Its description in RNAcentral is "bacterial SSU rRNA". It matches the Rfam family "Bacterial small subunit ribosomal RNA", at positions 9 to 617 of the family's 1533-position model. Lineage: Bacteria; Pseudomonadati; Verrucomicrobiota; Verrucomicrobiia; Verrucomicrobiales; Verrucomicrobiaceae. The record is from RNAcentral.